Betta splendens (Siamese fighting fish) is the source of this 2736-nucleotide long non-coding RNA. RefSeq lists it as uncharacterized. The record is from RefSeq and is a predicted model, not a curated record. The transcript is spliced from 2 exons. Lineage: Eukaryota; Metazoa; Chordata; Actinopteri; Anabantiformes; Osphronemidae.
UUUCACUCGUACCUGGUUGGCUCCUCCUGUCUGUCAAUCACGUCAAUAGCGCUGCUGAUUGGUUCAAUGAGCUGCUCGGGUUUGUUUGCACAGUUACAUGUUCAUCCAGCAUCGCGACCAAUACUAAAAUACGCAGACAUGAGAUCGCAAAGCAAACUGGUAAAAUCAAAGACUUCUCUCAGGGAGUUUGACACUACCUUUCAGGACUCAACCUCAACCUGUUGCUGGGAACGAGGCUAAAGCCUUUUGCCGCUGCUGGCGCGUACAUGUGUCGGACAUUACAGCGUUAAAAAAACGUCAAAGAAAACGCACGCACAACAUAAAGCCUCUAGCUCCAAAAAUGAAGGGACAAAAAAAGGACUGUUUAACUCAAAUAACGAAGCCGCUGUGUUAUUUCCUCAGGUUAUGGGCACACGUGGUUUUCAAAGUUGAUUUUAGUUUGUGAUAGUGGGUCAAAAUACGAGAAGUACCAUAUUCCCUCAUUUCCCAUCUGGCAACACUGGGUAGUAGUUAGCAGACACCUGCAUGUUGUUCUCAGGUAUGUCACGUAUGGGCCUGCGGAAAGUAAAACUGCUGCUCAUUUAGGACAAAUACUCCUGUCUCGUCUGUUCUUACACCUGCGACAUGGUGUCAGUAGUCGGAUCUUAAUCUGCUGAGCGACACGCAUGCCUGCAUCGCCUGAAAGCAAACACGAAAGGCACAAUGCUAACGCGUUAGCAUUAAGGACGAGCCUAAUUCCUGGACGUGUUACAUCUUUACACGGCGAAUUCCCAAUUCGUAUUGUGAGGCUUCUACCCGACAUGUCAGUGGGAACAAUGUGCACAUACUAAGAGUGUUCUGGGACAACAUGGCCUCUCAUCAACAAUCAUAGCAGACUGUGGUACACAGUACUUAAGUGAGGAAUUCAGAAGAUGUGUAGAAUCAAACAUCAUUUUGAAAUUCAGCUCUUUUUACCAUCAUCAGGCCAAUAGCACUGCUGAAAAAGGGAGCGUUGAAGCGCUAUGGAGGAAGGAAGAAGCACUUAACAACAGCUUGCCAUCACCGUAUGAGCUACUGUAUGGGAGGAAGCCAAGGUCCAUACAAGUGUAUGUGAGGAAUACACUCAAGAGUGUAUGGGAGCCAGGUAGCGUCUGCCCACUGAAUGAUUGACCCACAAGUUAUGUUUUGCUAUAGAAGAAGGGGAUGUCAUAAUAUUAGCAACGUGUUCAAACAUCAAAUGGUUAAAGAUAAAUUCAUGUGUGUAAAGAGUAAAAGUAAAACGAUAGCGAGAAAACGCCACUAGGUGGUAUUAAAGGUUAGCAGAUACCUGUAGGUUGUUGUUCUGAGGCAUGUCACGUAUCCACCUGGGAAAAAGCUGCUGCUCAUUUUGGACAAAUAUUCCUGCCUCGUUUUUUAAUAUGCAGCAGUGGGUGACGUGCAGAUAUAUUUAAUAUAUUUACCUUAUAUGUACUUAGACGUAGACGAUUUCAGGGUUUUUGCUGUUUUAAAAACACGGCUGUUGAUCAUAAAGCAAAAUAUGGCGGAUCUCCAUUCUGUCCUUUCAGCUUUAGGGUCCAUUUAAUGUAAAUGCUGGUUCAUGUAAAUUCUUUUAAAUCACGAACAGUCCCAUCUGACAGAAGCUGUCCCGAGCCUCUUUCCUGUGUUAUUUCUACGACACCCUGCUGACACCCGCUCCACAGCUCACCCUCUCUGGGGAUCGGUGCACGGUCAUUCCCCUCCCUGUGCCACUGCACAGCCUUCAAGGGAACCAGGGUGUCUGUAGAGGAUGGGGUUUAGGGUGAGAGGGGUGUCGUGGGGAGUCUACAGUAGUCAUGGAUGUGAAAGUCCUGGCAGGAAAGCUGGAGAGCUGGAUGAUGCUGGUGCUGCGAGCAGGGGAGGUAGUGGUGAUCUGAAGCAGGGUGGGGCCGUGCCACCUCAGGUACAUGGUCACCUGGAAGAAGGGGCCUUGAGAUCCAUCUACUGGAGGCUGGAGAGCGAACAAAAGCACCAUCUGCACCUGCAGCAGAGUGAACACGUCACCCACUGAAAAUUGGUUCCCGAGGCCGAGAGAGGGCUCAUCAGAACCAAAACUGGAGCAAGGCUGUUUAUCACUGAGCCUCCACUAGCUGCCAAGACCUCUGCUAUCAGCACCUCAGGGUGGCUUUUGGCCUAGUGAGCAAUGAAAGAAUUUUUUUUUCUGGUUGAAGUCUUCUGCAUCGUGCUUCUGCAUCUGUCUGUUUACAGAGGCCCUGUGACGGCAGCUGAAGCCACAGAUCUCACACCCGCUACAAGCUGGAGACAGAGGAGAGCUUGAAGCCUCACUGCAAUUAUCCCAAGAACCCAUGAUCAGCUUCAGAUAUCAUACAGAUAUGAAAGAAGUUGGCAAACAUGUGUCACAUUCAGUAAAUGGUGUUGCCAUCUUUACUGGCAUCAGAUUCCUCACAUGGCAAUCUGCUGAACAACAAAACCAAAUUACGCAUCUGGGCAUUUCUUUUCUACCCAACGCCUUUGGACUUGACAACCCCAUAAUUAGCACAUUGUCAAGUGUGAUGUGCUUUGCUGAACUACAUUCUUAAAGAGUUUUAGUAAUUACAUAAAGAGAAGUAACUAAGAAUUGAAUAGCGUCAGAGAUGUCACACGAUUAAUGCAGUUAAACAAGAUCAACAUUUCAAACAUCUUUGUUUUGUAUCCAUCUUUUCAGUCUAACUGUCUCCAGGCUACAGCUGUAACAAAUAAAUAAGCAUGCAGUCGUCCUUA